CGUGCUGGUGCACCGAACUGCUUUCCCCCACUUUCAAUCAAUCAAUUGCACCACGAUUUAACGAUGGAUGCAAAUUGGCGGGUUCCUGUGCUGUAUACCUAACGAGAUGGAAACUCAUCCCUUCGGUUGUCCCUUCCAAUCGUGCCUCCUCAUGGAUUCUCGGUUGGACUAGAUAGAGGGGCUUGUGCUCCACGGACAUCGUACGCGAUCGGCCGAUGGACCUCGAGCGCCUUCUUGUCCUCUCGGAUGCGGAAAGUUGCCCAUGGGCGUGGGUCAUCGGCCCUCGGUCCCUAAUUGUUGAAGCGUUUAUUGCUUCACCCCGGAAUGACGCUCUCGCCUUGCUCUUGAUCAUGUGGGUCAUCGGCCCUCGGCCCUCGACCACCACAGGAUCAUGCUCGGCGGACGUCGUGAAGGAAUGC
This 419-nucleotide unclassified non-coding RNA is filed under the name Baeckea pentagonantha. Its description in RNAcentral is "partial external transcribed spacer". Lineage: Eukaryota; Viridiplantae; Streptophyta; Magnoliopsida; Myrtales; Myrtaceae. The record is from RNAcentral.